RNAcentral lists this ribosomal RNA (274 nucleotides) under uncultured bacterium. Its description in RNAcentral is "partial 16S ribosomal RNA". It matches the Rfam family "Bacterial small subunit ribosomal RNA", at positions 523 to 796 of the family's 1533-position model. The record is from RNAcentral.
AUACGGAGGGAGCAAGCGUUAUUCGGAAUCACUGGGCGUAAGGGACGCGUAGGCGGGUUUGUAAGUCAGGUGUGAAAUCCUACAGCUCAACUGUAGAACUGCACUUGAAACUACAGACCUAGAGUAUGGAAGGGGCAGAUGGAAUUAGUGGUGUAGGGGUAAAAUCCGUAGAUAUCACUAGGAAUACCGAAAGCGAAGGCGAUCUGCUGGGACAUUACUGACGCUGAGGCGUGAAAGCGUCGGGAGCAAACAGGAUUAGAAACCCUAGUAGUCC